Molecule: unclassified non-coding RNA, 738 nt
Filed under: Hevea brasiliensis (rubber tree)
Lineage: Eukaryota; Viridiplantae; Streptophyta; Magnoliopsida; Malpighiales; Euphorbiaceae
Source: RNAcentral
GCAAAGCUUAAAGAACUGGAGAGAGAGAAAGAGAGCUAUCACUUCGGAAAUAUGACGCUCAGAUCAUAUCAGCUGGUGGUUCAGUUGCUGAGGAGAGUGGUGCAUAAAUAGUGAAGGUAUUGGCGUGCCUCAAUCUAAAUACAUGGUUAGAUGAUAUCUAUUAGCCAAGUAAUUUGAUUGAGCCGCGUCAAUAUCUCUUUCUAGCUCCUCUCUCCUUUCCUCUUCUUCAUAAUUUCUUGGGAGGGGAAUCCAGAAAAGACAAAAUGGGAUCAGCUAGUCUGCCUCACUAUUCUUGGCCAUAGAACGUCCUGCAUAUCCGAAUGAAGACAGUCCAUCACCUCACUGGGAGGAUUCAACAUAACGUGCACCCCAAAUAAGAGGAAAUUGUAAGAUUAGCUAGCUAGCUUAUCUGCAACCAUAUUCACUUCCCUAUAGCAAUGACGGAUCCUCAAUUGCCAAGCCCUCCCUUUGAUCAACCAACUCUAAGCCAAACACUUGAGCAAGGUUGGGUGACAAGUUCUUGUGAAGGAAUUUAUGAACUUUGGGGUGAGAAUUCAAGGAAUUAGCAAGGUUGAAGAAUGACAACAAUGGAGGGAGGUGAGAGGUGUGUUUCGGCCAAAAGAAGGAAAUGAAGAAGAUGCAUAAAUUUUUGUUUAAUCUUAUCUCUUUUAUUGACUUUUAUGUGUAUUUAUUGAAUGGUAAUUGGUGGAUAAAUUUUUAAUGACAUCAUAAUGAUGU